This 82-nucleotide transfer RNA is filed under the name Planctomycetaceae bacterium. RNAcentral's name for it is "tRNA-Ser". It matches the Rfam family "tRNA". Rfam says of the family: Transfer RNA (tRNA) molecules are approximately 80 nucleotides in length. Their secondary structure includes four short double-helical elements and three loops (D, anti-codon, and T loops). RNAcentral also lists the same sequence under 3 other names. Lineage: Bacteria; Pseudomonadati; Planctomycetota; Planctomycetia; Planctomycetales; Planctomycetaceae. The record is from RNAcentral.
GGAGGGUACGCGAAUGGUUAGCAACCGCAUUCGAAAUGCGGCGCCCCGCAAGGGGUUGAGGGUUCGAAUCCCUUGCCCUCCG